RNAcentral lists this ribosomal RNA (253 nucleotides) under uncultured bacterium. RNAcentral's name for it is "partial 16S ribosomal RNA". It matches the Rfam family "Bacterial small subunit ribosomal RNA", at positions 524 to 776 of the family's 1533-position model. The record is from RNAcentral.
UACGUAGGUGGCGAGCGUUGUCCGGAUUUAUUGGGUUUAAAGGGUGCGUAGGCGGCCCUGUAAGUCAGCGGUGAAAUACGGCAGCUCAACUGUCGAGGUGCCGUUGAUACUGCGGGGCUUGAGUGCUGAUGAGGCAGGCGGAAUUGACGGUGUAGCGGUGAAAUGCUUAGAUAUCGUCAAGAACACCGAUAGCGAAGGCAGCCUGCCAAGGAGCAACUGACGCUGAGGUGCGAAAGCGUGGGGAGCAAACAGG